GCCCGAGUGGCGGAAUUGGCAGACGCACCGCACUCAAAAUGCGGCGAUGAAAAUCGUGUGGGUUCGAGUCCCACCUCGGGCAC
Molecule: transfer RNA, 83 nt
Filed under: Arthrobacter ginkgonis
Lineage: Bacteria; Bacillati; Actinomycetota; Actinomycetes; Micrococcales; Micrococcaceae
Also listed under: 1 other name
Description: tRNA-Leu
Rfam family: tRNA
About the family: Transfer RNA (tRNA) molecules are approximately 80 nucleotides in length. Their secondary structure includes four short double-helical elements and three loops (D, anti-codon, and T loops).
Source: RNAcentral